Molecule: non-coding RNA, 480 nt
Organism: Pelobates cultripes (western spadefoot toad)
Lineage: Eukaryota; Metazoa; Chordata; Amphibia; Anura; Pelobatidae
Source: the annotation of a GenBank genome assembly
GGGAGGACGGGAAGAGGAGUCUGGCUGUGGAAUGCGAUGUAGACUGUGGCUGGGAGUGUGUAAGGACUGACAGAGGGAGGCCUGGAAGAUGAGUCUGGCUGUGGAAUGCGAUGUAGACUGUGGCUGGGAGUGUGUAAGGUUUGACAGAGGGAGGCCUGGGAGGACGGGAAGAUGAGUCUGGCUGUGGAAUGCGAUGUAGACUGUGGCUGGGAGUGUGUAAGGACUGACAGAGGGAGGCCUGGGAGGACGGGAAGAUGAGUCUGGCUGUGGAAUGCGAUGUAGACUGUGGCUGGGAGUGUGUAAGGACUGACAGAGGGAGGCCUGGGAGGACGGGAAGAUGAGUCUGGCUGUGGAAUGCGAUAUAGACUGUGGCUGGGAGUGUGUAAGACCAGUAAGACGCGGCUUUGGACUUUAUCUGCAUCCACUGUUAGGCAGAGGAGGAUGCGAGCUAUGUUUUUAAGAUGGAAGUCAAAGGAUUUG